Long non-coding RNA from Perca flavescens (yellow perch), 995 nucleotides. RefSeq lists it as uncharacterized. Lineage: Eukaryota; Metazoa; Chordata; Actinopteri; Perciformes; Percidae. The record is from RefSeq and is a predicted model, not a curated record. The transcript is spliced from 4 exons.
UCCUGUAUUCAUGUUCUGUGAUAUGUAUUCAUCAGGAUGAGCUGAGUGACCUGCAGCAGGAUCUGCUGGAAGUUGAGGAUGCUUCCAUCCUGUUUACAGGUGUACCACACUCAAACCCUCGAAAAACCUGUGCUGCACAUACUGCAGAGUUCAAAGCCCCACUACCUUUGCAGUUCACGAGUCCUGCUCAGACAGCUAAAGGGACAAAGCCAUUGUUUGCCUUGGCACCCAACUAGACACGUCAAUUGGACACGCUUCAUCGUCCAUGAUGAUGGCUACCUGUAGGCCAAAAAAAAUGUCUAAUCUUUGAUGAAACACACCAAAUUGAUUAUUCCGAAAUGGAUAUCAGUUCAACAUCAGCCUUGGACAUCAGUAUGGCCUCAGAACCUGCCUCAGAAACUGCUGACUCCAGUUUUCUCCCUGACACAAGCCCGUCCACCUCUACCACAGGAAGCUCAGCAAGCAUUCCUGGACAAUUUAGAGGAUGGAAAGAGAGUAAGUGGCUGGUUAAUGAGUCCAAACUCAUGGAACUAUUCCAAAAAUGCACUUUUUGUGGAGCUGCAAUGUGUGAUGUGAACCAAACUGUGAAAACAUCUGGCAGCAGGAUCAGAGUCACAUGGCAAUGUAACAGUGGACACACUGGAGAUUGGGAAUCAUGCCCAAUCUGGGAGAAGUGAUAGCCCAGGCCAUUCCUGCAAAUACACAACGUAUUCCUACAUGGAUGACUCCACCAAUCAAAUUCUAACAUUUGAGUUGAUUCAGGUGACCCAGGCCAAAAGGUUCUGUUGCGAUGGCACCAAUGGGUUUCAAGAAAGGACUGGAAAAGCUUCUAGAUGAAGGGAUUGACGUAAAGGUUGCCACAACCGACAGACAUCCCUCUAUCAGGAAAAUAAUGAGGGAGGAUUUUCAAAAUAUAGACACAAAACCCAGAUAGCGGAUUAAGCCGGGAUUUCCCAGUUAUCCUGGCUCAAUUUAGCCUUGACUCAGUUUCACAA